CCUACGGAUGAGCCUAAGCCCACAAGGGCAUCCCAAGAGUUUGUGUGUCCCGAAAUGAAAAGUCAAAACUUCGAGUGUUGGGUUAGCCUAGCUAACCUUGCCCUAUAUCACCAAAGAGGUAAUGGACUCAAUAUAUGGUCUAAUUCCUCCACCUUAAGGGGUUAACGACUUGAACGAGAUCUCCACGCCAAC
Molecule: non-coding RNA, 192 nt
Organism: Benincasa hispida (wax gourd)
Lineage: Eukaryota; Viridiplantae; Streptophyta; Magnoliopsida; Cucurbitales; Cucurbitaceae
Source: RefSeq, a predicted model, not a curated record